RNAcentral lists this ribosomal RNA (484 nucleotides) under uncultured bacterium. Its description in RNAcentral is "partial 16S ribosomal RNA". It matches the Rfam family "Bacterial small subunit ribosomal RNA", at positions 29 to 507 of the family's 1533-position model. The record is from RNAcentral.
AGUGAACGCUGGCGGCAGGCCUAACACAUGCAAGUCGAGCGGAUGAAGGGAGCUUGCUCCUGGAUUCAGCGGCGGACGGGUGAGUAAUGCCUAGGAAUCUGCCUGGUAGUGGGGGAUAACGUCCGGAAACGGGCGCUAAUACCGCAUACGUCCUGAGGGAGAAAGUGGGGGAUCUUCGGACCUCACGCUAUCAGAUGAGCCUAGGUCGGAUUAGCUAGUUGGUGGGGUAAAGGCCUACCGAGGCGACGAUCCGUAACUGGUCUGAGAGGAUGAUCAGUCACACUGGAACUGAGACACGGUCCAGACUCCUACGGGAGGCAGCAGUGGGGAAUAUUGGACAAUGGGCGAAAGCCUGAUCCAGCCAUGCCGCGUGUGUGAAGAAGGUCUUCGGAUUGUAAAGCACUUUAAGUUGGGAGGAAGGGCAGUAAGUUAAUACCUUGCUGUUUUGACGUUACCAAAAGAAUAAGCACCGGCUAACUUCGUG